AAUUGCCUCCUGCUUCAGAGCUACCUGAUCCGAAUACUAAGCAGAGCGAGUGCCGGGCUGAGUGUAAGACACUGAAGACACUGCAGAGCAAGGUGCUUAUUCCAGAGGCGUUACAAAACAUGGAGAUUAAAGACCAGGGAGCCCAAAUGGAGCCGCUGCUGCCUACGCCCUGAAGAUGCUGAGACAUAGAGAUGGCUGUGAUUAUCUUUUGUAAGACAGGAAAUGCAGUCUUUAGGGGUUUCUGGAAGUAGAAAGGUCAUGCAGUCUGGAACCUGUGAGCCUUUUCAAUCUCUAAGUCAUCAGCAUGUCCUCAGAAUUAUAUACUUGGAUAAGAAACUACCUAUAUUUGACAUUCAGAUUUUGAAAGAAAUAUAUUUCAUUUUUCAAAAUAUUAUACAUGCUUCUGCCUCAAUGUUAGAGAACUUUUCAGGAUAAUCUUGAUCUUUGGAAUGAUAAAACUGAUUGUAAACUUGCCCAGUAAUGAUUGGUCAUCUUCCUUACAAAGGCUGCCUUCGUUUAUACUAUUUUACAUGCAUUUCAUUAUACAUCAUAAAGGUUUUAAAGAGAAAUGAUGAAGAAGCAGUUGUGGAUAGAGGUGGAACUCGUUCUAUUCUCAAAACACACUUUGAGAAAGAAGAUUUAGAAGGUCAUCGAACACUAUUUAUUGGAGUACAUGUGCCCUUGGGAGGAAGAAAAAGCCAUCGACGUCACAGGCAUCGUGGUCAUAAACACAGAAAGAGAGACAGAGAAAGAGAUUCAGGAUUAGAGGAUGGAAGGGAGUCACCUUCUUUUGACACCCCAUCACAGAGGGUACAGUUUAUUCUUGGAACCGAGGAUGAUGACGAGGAACACAUUCCUCAUGACCUUUUCACAGAACUGGAUGAGAUUUGUUGGCGUGAAGGUGAGGAUGCUGAGUGGCGAGAAACAGCCAGGUGGUUGAAGUUUGAAGAAGAUGUGGAAGAUGGAGGAGAAAGGUGGAGCAAGCCUUAUGUGGCUACUCUUUCAUUGCACAGCUUGUUUGAAUUGAGAAGUUGUAUUCUGAAUGGAACUGUGUUGCUGGACAUGCAUGCCAACACUUUAGAAGAAAUUGCAGAUAUGGUUCUUGACCAACAAGUGAGCUCAGGUCAGCUGAAUGAAGAUGUACGCCACAGGGUCCAUGAGGCAUUGAUGAAACAGCAUCAUCAUCAGAAUCAGAAAAAACUCACCAACAGGAUUCCCAUUGUUCGUUCCUUUGCUGAUAUUGGCAAGAAACAGUCAGAACCAAAUUCCAUGGACAAAAAUGCAGGUCAGGUUGUUUCUCCUCAGUCUGCUCCAGCUUGUGUUGAAAAUAAAAAUGAUGUUAGCAGAGAAAACAGCACUGUUGACUUUAGCAAGGGACUGGGAGGCCAACAAAAGGGGCAUACUAGUCCAUGUGGGAUGAAACAAAGGCAUGAAAAAGGACCUCCACACCAGCAAGAGAGAGAGGUUGAUCUGCAUUUUAUGAAAAAGAUUCCUCCAGGUGCUGAAGCAUCUAACAUCUUAGUGGGAGAACUGGAGUUCUUGGAUCGAACAGUAGUUGCGUUUGUCAGGUUGUCUCCAGCUGUAUUGCUUCAAGGACUGGCUGAAGUCCCAAUCCCAACCAGAUUUUUGUUCAUUCUUCUGGGACCCCUGGGAAAGGGUCAACAGUACCAUGAGAUUGGCAGAUCAAUUGCAACCCUAAUGACAGAUGAGGUAUUUCAUGAUGUUGCCUAUAAAGCUAAAGAUCGUAAUGACUUGGUAUCAGGAAUUGAUGAGUUUCUGGAUCAGGUUACUGUUCUCCCUCCUGGAGAAUGGGAUCCAAGCAUUCGAAUAGAGCCUCCCAAAAAUGUUCCUUCCCAGGAGAAGAGGAAGAUUCCUGCUGUACCAAAUGGAACAGCAGCUCAUGGGGAAGCAGAGCCCCACGGAGGACAUAGUGGACCUGAACUCCAGCGAACUGGAAGGUUAGUGAAAAUCACUUCUAUGGGACUUCAAGGACCAAAUGACAUACCAUUCUUCUCUGUCAGAAAUUGCUAUUUUGGGAUCUAAUUUAUUGUAUACUUUUAAUACCUGCUUUUUGAGGGUGAAAAUGCCAAUUAGUUUGAUUUCUCUG
RNAcentral lists this small RNA (2107 nucleotides) under Pan troglodytes (chimpanzee). RNAcentral describes it as "processed transcript". The record is from RNAcentral. Lineage: Eukaryota; Metazoa; Chordata; Mammalia; Primates; Hominidae.